GGAGGAGUGGCAGAGUGGUCGAUUGCGCUCUCCUGCUAAGGGAGUGAAUGUUAGUAGCGUUCCGAGGGUUCGAAUCCCUCCUCCUCGGCCA
This 91-nucleotide transfer RNA is filed under the name Roseovarius sp. RNAcentral's name for it is "tRNA-Ser". It matches the Rfam family "tRNA". Rfam says of the family: Transfer RNA (tRNA) molecules are approximately 80 nucleotides in length. Their secondary structure includes four short double-helical elements and three loops (D, anti-codon, and T loops). Lineage: Bacteria; Pseudomonadati; Pseudomonadota; Alphaproteobacteria; Rhodobacterales; Roseobacteraceae. The record is from RNAcentral.